UACGGAGGAUGCAAGCGUUAUCCGGAAUGAUUGGGCGUAAAGCGUCCGCAGGUGGUUUUGUAUGUCUGCUGUUAAAGCGUGCGGCUUAACCGCAUAAGGGCGGUGGAAACUACAAGACUAGAGUACGUUCGGGGCAGAGGGAAUUCCCAGUGUAGCGGUGAAAUGCGUAGAGAUUGGGAAGAACAUCGGUGGCGAAGGCGCUCUGCUAGGCCUGUACUGACACUGAGGGACGAAAGCUAGGGGAGCGAAUGGG
RNAcentral lists this ribosomal RNA (253 nucleotides) under uncultured Macrochaete sp. Its description in RNAcentral is "partial 16S ribosomal RNA". It matches the Rfam family "Bacterial small subunit ribosomal RNA", at positions 524 to 776 of the family's 1533-position model. The record is from RNAcentral. Lineage: Bacteria; Bacillati; Cyanobacteriota; Cyanophyceae; Nostocales; Calotrichaceae.